CUUUGAAGAUUAAUUGAAUCUUUAGAACCAUUGCUGCUGGUAAGUACGACAUUCGAUUGUUUUCAAUUUUAGUGAUUAGAAGCUUUGGAUUGUUGAGUUGAGGUGUGAUUAGAAGCUUUGGAUUGUUGAGAUUUACCAAUUUAUUCUGGGUUUUCGUAGUUUUCCUUUUGUGCUUGGAGGACCAGGAGGAUUGAGGACUAAGUUUGAUCUUUGAGGGAGAAGAAGGCAAAGUUUGAAUCUGAAAAUGCUUUUAAUCAAGGAGUGGAGGCAACAUUGACCAAUACUAGCUCUACACAAACUGAUGCUUAGCAGCCUACAUCAAACUGAGUAUGAAGUAUGAAUUUGCAGAAACUGAGUAUGAAGUGUGAAUUUGCAGAAACUGAAUUUGAGGGAUCACAGUAACUCAGCAAGGCAGUAAGCAAAUAUAAAGUGAUGAUGAGAUGAACUUUGAGUCCUUGAACACUUUGUUUUCAACUAUUGCACUUAGUUAUUGUAUCAUUUGAUAUUUGAUUCAUUUGUGUGAAGUGUGAACUGUGAACUAUGAAUUAUUGACUUAAAAUUUGUACGAACUAUGGAGUGAUGAA
Long non-coding RNA from Rosa chinensis, 584 nucleotides. RefSeq lists it as uncharacterized. NCBI's taxonomy places the organism in Eukaryota, Viridiplantae, Streptophyta, Magnoliopsida, Rosales, Rosaceae. The record is from RefSeq and is a predicted model, not a curated record. The transcript has 3 exons.